CCUCCCAGCUCCCCCUGGGACUAUUAGAUGACAGGGAGAGGGUGAGGGUGGGCCCCAUGCCUUAAGGUGGACCUCAAGUUGAGGGAAGGCUUUCUAGACCGUGCCCUUAUUCUCUGUCCCAGUCUCAGGCUCUGCCUCUUGGUUAAGUUUGGGGUCCAGAAACCUUCAGAGGAUGGAGAUGACACCCAUAAAUAUUAGAGACUGAGUAGGGGGCGGGAAGCGGUGGCGGCAGCGCACCCCCGGGGUGCAACUGCCCUGGAACUCCAAGUGGUGGCUUCAAAACUGGAUUAAAAUUUAUUUCCGCGAAACCCUGGAGUCACGGUCCGGCGCCGACUGGCGUUUUCUGCCGUAGACUGAGAACGCGUCAGGGAUGGCUCCGUUGGCAGCGCGCGCGAGCGCCCCCGGGCCGCGCCUGGAGGGUUGACAGCGACUCGCGGGCGAACUGUGAACCCGCAGCCCCUGGGCUCCGAGCGCAAACCUGGCGACUGGGAGGGCCCGGGGAGCGGGUGAGCCAGCGCCAGCCCCGCCGGCCCCAGGAGCGCGAAUUUCUCUACAUUUCCGGCUGUGGCCGCAGUUGGAGGAUGGGAUCAAAACGGGCAAAAAAGUGCGACCUGGGCCGAGGUGUCGGAUCGCCUCGAGGUGGGAGGCCGAGGUGUUGGAUCGCCUGAGGCGUCCUCAUCCCUUUUCACCUCGGAGCUCAGCGUCUUCCUCAGCAGCACUUCCAUGUCAUCUGCCCCGUGAAAUCAGCCUAACGCCGUUUCUCAAUGACGUGGAUCGCCCUAGGCCACCGCAACCUUCCGGAAGCUCUCUCAGCUCAGUUCCCAUUCUCCCACCAUCUCUUGGUUCUCCUUCUACCUCACCGGUUGCUAGUCCUCCGCUUCGCAGCUGAAAAUGUGCCCGGGGCCUACUGUGGGCCUAGCCAGGCCUGCUUACGCAGUGCAGUUUCCCAUGAAUGAUGCCCAGUCAUUAUCACAUAACCUGUGGCAAGCCAGCAAGAUGGCCCUGGUGACAGCAAAAGAAACUGCACUAGGACCUGAAUGUAGAUCUCAGUCAUGUUCCUUACUAACAGCACGUUUUGCAACCAUGCGUUAAAGAAACAUCUGACUCACAACAAAAUUUUAAAGGGUUUAUUUGAGUGAAAAGCAAUUUAUGAAUUGGGGAACACCUGACUGAAAGAGCGUUAGUAUUCCAGAGACAAAACAUCAAGUGCAAGUUUUUAUUGGGAAAAUGUAGAAGCACAAUAAAGAAAUUAUUUGAUUGGUUACA
This 1266-nucleotide long non-coding RNA is filed under the name Homo sapiens (human). Its description in RNAcentral is "HSALNT0406748". Lineage: Eukaryota; Metazoa; Chordata; Mammalia; Primates; Hominidae. The record is from RNAcentral.